AGAGUUUGAUCCUGGCUCAGAACGAACGCUGGCGGCGUGGAUAAGACAUGCAAGUCGGACGAGAUUUUUCGUUGUAGCAAUACGAUGGAAAGUCUAGUGGCGAACGGGUGCUUAACACGUGGGCAACCUGCCAUGAAGUGGGGGAUAGCUCGUCGAAAGGCGAAUUAAUACCGCAUGUGAUUAGAGAGGACAUCCUUUCGAAAUUAAAGUCGGGGCAACCUGACGCUUCUUGUGGGGCCCGCGGCCUAUCAGCUAGUUGGUGAGGUAACGGCUCACCAAGGCUUUGACGGGUAGCUGGUCUGAGAGGACGACCAGCCACACUGGGACUGAGACACGGCCCAGACACCUACGGGUGGCAGCAGUCGAGAAUUUUUGACAAUGGGGGAAACCCUGAUCGAGCGACGCCGCGUGGAGGAUGAAGGUCUUCGGAUUGUAAACUCCUGUCAUUGGGGAACAAUGCACAGAUAUUAACUGUAUUUGUGUUGAUAGUACCCGAAGAGGAAGGGACGGCUAACUCUGUGCCAGCAGCCGCGGUAAUACAGAGGUCCCAAGCGUUGUUCGGAUUCAUUGGGCGUAAAGGGUGCGUAGGCGGCGCGGUAAGUCGGGUGUGAAAUCUCGGGGCUUAACUCCGAAACUGCAUUCGAUACUGCCGUGCUUGAGGACUGGAGAGGAGACUGGAAUUUACGGUGUAGCGGUGAAAUGCGUAGAUAUCGUAAGGAAGACCAGUGGCGAAGGCGGGUCUCUGGACAGUUCCUGACGCUGAGGCACGAAGGUCAGGGGAGCAAACGGGAUUAGAUACCCUAGUAGUCC
This 810-nucleotide ribosomal RNA is filed under the name uncultured bacterium. RNAcentral's name for it is "bacterial SSU rRNA". It matches the Rfam family "Bacterial small subunit ribosomal RNA", at positions 8 to 796 of the family's 1533-position model. The record is from RNAcentral.